RNAcentral lists this unclassified non-coding RNA (192 nucleotides) under Rozellomycota sp. RNAcentral's name for it is "Cryptomycota sp. partial contains small subunit ribosomal RNA, internal transcribed spacer 1, and 5.8S ribosomal RNA". The stretch from base 1 to 47 matches the Rfam family "Eukaryotic small subunit ribosomal RNA", at positions 1785 to 1831 of the family's 1831-position model. The record is from RNAcentral. Lineage: Eukaryota; Fungi; Rozellomycota.
AAAGUCGUAACAAGGUUUCCGUAGGUGAACCUGCGGAAGGAUCAUUACAAAUCUAAGGCCCCCAUCAUUUUGGUGGUGGGUGGUCUAUAUGUUCGAGGCAGCAAUGCUUCGUUACAUUUACGCUUGUAUGUUUGACAGAGUUAGUGUGAUUUUAAAUAUUGACAACUUUUAACAAUGGAUCUCUUGGCUCUU